UACAUGUGUCCCUCAAAGAUCUUAUUACUGGCCUUAUAACUUUGUGGACUACAACUGUACAUGUCCAUGGGAUAGAUACGGGAAGAGAUGUGAAUAUUACGGGUGGCCAACUACCGAAAGCCCCACAACAGAAUCGGUAACACCAACCGUCCCAGUUCGUUUAGUUGGAGGCUACAGCAACAGAGAGGGACGUGUGGAGGU
Molecule: long non-coding RNA, 201 nt
Organism: Lingula anatina
Lineage: Eukaryota; Metazoa; Brachiopoda; Lingulata; Lingulida; Lingulidae
Source: RefSeq, a predicted model, not a curated record